GUCGAGGGGCAGCGGGGAGGUAGCAAUACUUUCGCCGGCGACCGGCGUACGGGUGAGUAACACGUAUGGAACCUGCCCGUAGCAGGGGGAUAAGCGGAAGAAAUUCCGUCUAAUACCGCGUAAUAACUCCGAGAGGCAUCUCAUGGAGUUUAAAGGGUAACACCGGCUACGGAUGGCCAUGCGGCGCAUUAGCUAGUUGGCGGGGUAACGGCCCACCAAGGCGACGAUGCGUAGGGGUUCUGAGAGGAAGGUCCCCCACACUGGUACUGAGACACGGACCAGACUCCUACGGGAGGCAGCAGUGAGGAAUAUUGGUCAAUGGGCGCGAGCCUGAACCAGCCAAGUCGCGUGAGGGAAGACGGUCCUAUGGAUUGUAAACCUCUUUUGUCGGGGAGCAAAAGACGCCACGCGUGGCGUUCCGAGAGUACCCGAAGAAAAAGCAUCGGCUAACUCCGUGCCAGCAGCCGCGGUAAUACGGAGGAUGCGAGCGUUAUCCGGAUUUAUUGGGUUUAAAGGGUGCGCAGGCGGAAGAUCAAGUCAGCGGUAAAAUUGAGAGGCUCAACCUCUUCGAGCCGUUGAAACUGGUUUUCUUGAGUGAGCGAGAAGUAUGCGGAAUGCGUGGUGUAGCGGUGAAAUGCAUAGAUAUCACGCAGAACUCCGAUUGCGAAGGCAGCAUACCGGCGCUCAACUGACGCUCAU
This 699-nucleotide ribosomal RNA is filed under the name uncultured bacterium. RNAcentral's name for it is "bacterial SSU rRNA". It matches the Rfam family "Bacterial small subunit ribosomal RNA", at positions 61 to 750 of the family's 1533-position model. The record is from RNAcentral.